Molecule: transfer RNA, 72 nt
Filed under: Burkholderia cepacia
Lineage: Bacteria; Pseudomonadati; Pseudomonadota; Betaproteobacteria; Burkholderiales; Burkholderiaceae
Description: tRNA-Gly(tcc)
Source: RNAcentral
GCCCGGCCGGCCCGUUCACGUCGGCGCCUUCCGCGCGCCGGAACGUGUCGCGUGCGAGGCACAGGUCGGCCC